Long non-coding RNA from Homo sapiens (human), 1605 nucleotides. RefSeq annotates it as YEATS2 antisense RNA 1. The annotation marks the transcript as partial. The transcript is spliced from 3 exons. NCBI's taxonomy places the organism in Eukaryota, Metazoa, Chordata, Mammalia, Primates, Hominidae. The record is from RefSeq and is marked validated.
UACCAGGUGAAAUUCUCUCACGUAUAUCUCAUCAUUUAUUCACUUAACUCAUCACAGGGACCAUCCCAGGCAGAGGCCCCGUGGAGAGGGCUCCUGAGCCACAGACAUAGCUUAGGGCCACUCUGGGGUGAGGACUGCCUUCCUGUCAUAGGCAUGAGAAGGAUGUCAACAAGUUGGUUGAAUAAUUAGGAAAAAAGAUUCUGAGAACUGAGAAAAGAGAAAGAAAACAAAGCGGAUGGCAGAACGGAAUGACACAUUUGUGAGUGAGUCUCAGCAGACCGAAAGCUGAGUCAAAGCACCACAAAACUCUGGGACCUUAUUUCCCAUCUCCUAGAAAGACGGGAGACGGAGCCACGCCAGGCCAGGCGUGAUGUUAAUCGUUCCAUCAAAAGCACCUAAGUCACUCUACCCCUCCAGGACAGGGAGCACAGAGAUGGAGUCUCACUCUCGCGCCCAGGCUGGAGCGCAGUGGCGCGAUCUUGGCUCAGUGCAACCUCCGCCUCCCGGGUUCAAGCGAUUCUCCUGCCUCAGCCUCCCAAGUAGCUGGGAUUACCAGGCACCCACCUUCAGGAUCAUGUCCUCCACCACGGACGCAUACACGUUCCUGUGGAGUGCCACGGGCUGCAGGGUGAUCCCAAUCUGGAAAAGCAGAAGAAAGCCGUUUGUUCGUAUCGCUGCUUUAGAAACAGCCUCUCUCCAAACAAGCAUACCUCCCUGACAUGCAAAGCGAUGCCUGGUUGGAAGGAGGACUCUGCAAACAUAUUGGGCAAAAUUCACGGGAAAGGAACACGGAAUAUAACAUCUAGAAGAAUGUUAUCUUGUUUUUCCACAUUUCUGGCUGAUAUUUAAAAUAUGACUAUAAUCCUAUUAAAAUCUCUCAAAUCUCCUUCGUGGGAGAACAUGGUUGGGAUCUGCCUGGGUUCUGAUACGCAAUCAACACUUUGAAAGGUCUGGAAUCAGACUCCAACGUCCUGUUUGCACUUGGAAACUGCAUCUUGCCCAUUCUUCAUGGCAUCCAAUGAAAGCACACUGUCUUUCACCUUGGGCCCUGAGCAACUGGCAGAUGCUGAAGAGCUGUUAGGCUCCAGCAGGGUGGAUAAAUACCUCUCUCCUGUAUAGUAAGGCAGGUGCACGCCAUCUGCACCACAGGCGGGGCACUCAGGAGCUAUCAACACAUCAGGGGAGGAUUACGCGCUGACGUGCAACUCAGAAAGAGUACGACGUGCCUCAUGAGGGAAAGGUGCUUCUACUGAGGCAGAUGAGAAAAACAAGAUGAAGAGUAAUCAACCAUUUCUAUCUAGCCAGCUUUGCUUCACGUCUGCGUUCAACAAGCAAUGUUUUCACAUGUAAUUAGCAUUUCUGCCCAAGGGCUCUGAUGUGGGACGGUGGGAGCCCUGAGAGCACACCUGGGUCAACCAGGCAGAAGGAAGUCAAGCAUCUACGGCACCAGAAGAGUCUGGGUCUGAGUCUGUGUCUGUGAGGCUGAACACCUGGGUCUGGGUCUGUGAAGCUGAACGUCUGAACAUCUAGCUCUGAGCUGGUCUGCUGCAUGAACUAUUAACACCACAACCCCUACCUUCUGUGUGACAUCCCCAAUAAAUUCAG